GGGGCUGUUUGGUUUUGACAGCAGGUAGAAAGGGUAUGUAAGCAUGUCGAGCGGGGUGAAAACGGCUCGUAAAUCACGGUUCACAAAAUCAUAACUGGCGAAAAUAACUACGCUCUUGCUGCUUAAUCGAAUCAAGUAGAUUAGGCUUAAUUCCGGCACUAGGUGCUGGAACGGGACAUCCUCCAGAAGCCGUCGCUCCGAGGCAGACGAAAUGAGGGUGCAGCUAAAUCGGGGAUAGUCGCACUUAGCCCUGGAAGUGUGAUGAAAUAAAAGGGAUAAGGCGCGGAUUGGUGGCUUCGGUCUUGCCCACGCACGAAAACCUAAGCGAAGAUAAACAUGUAGAAAGCGUAUUAUUUCCUUGUUUGGACGAGGGUUCGACUCCCUCCAGCUCCACUG
RNAcentral lists this transfer-messenger RNA (396 nucleotides) under Paludibacter sp. It matches the Rfam family "transfer-messenger RNA". From Rfam's summary of the family: Bacterial tmRNA, also known as 10Sa RNA or SsrA, is named for its dual tRNA and mRNA-like properties. Its role is to liberate the mRNA from a stalled ribosome. The record is from RNAcentral. Lineage: Bacteria; Pseudomonadati; Bacteroidota; Bacteroidia; Bacteroidales; Paludibacteraceae.